GCUUAGUGGUACUGCAGUCCCGGUGUACAUAAAAGGAAAAGUAAUAUAUCUCUAAGCGUCACUUUAUUAUACGGAGUUGUUCCAGCUGAUUUUUAAGGACUAAGACAAGCCGUUAUGUCUCCUCAUUGCCCACGCAGCUAACUUGAUAGGGAGGAUAUUCCAAAUAGGAUGUAGUUGCAAUGCUGAUGUUGCAUAGUAUGUGGCAUUGGCAGCCAUAUCACUUCCAAACUGGGAUACGGUGACUACUUUUUCUGAGAAGAAGCUUGGUGUCUGAAGGAAGAGUCUUUCACAAUCCCUAUUCAAAGUGCAUUUACCUGAUUGCCGCUAAACACAUCUCUCUCUCUACAUCAGAUCGCAACUGCACAGAGUGAACUCAGACCAUUAAAGAAGAGAAUAAGAAAGCUUCUCGUUCUCCCAAAUGGAUCUCUUAAGCACACAGCUGAUGGGAUGCCAGCAGAAUGCUAGCAGCUACAUCUAAUCAAACCACUGAUACUGCUUUGAUUUUUGAGGAGUUCAACUCUUGAUUGAGUUUGGCAGCCCUGCACCCACAAGGCUAUGCCUGGGAACUGCAAGGCAGAGAAAAAACAAUUCUUUCUGUCUUUGCAAAAAUCUUGAUUGAAUAAAAUUAUUUCUUUAUUCUUAAAUCUUCUUUUACAAGUGGGUAUGAGCACUAUUUUUCAGUUGCUAUAUCCCAUCAAAGUUCAGUUCUCAUCACUGUUAAGUUCUGCUGCUCAUUUUGAAUGCAAAAGAAGAUACCUAAAAGAACCUGUGGGCUUUGCUUUUUUGUGAUGCAUUCUGAACUCCUCCCAUCUGAAACAGGCACAACUAACGUGCCUUACAGGGGCUUCUGAUUUGUCUUGCUGUGGUUGGAAAUUUUUAAAGGGUUUUUUCAGCAUAUGGGAGACAUGAUAUAUUGAUUCAAUUUGAAAAUCCUCAGAUAUUAUCACUGCACUCCAUCUUGUGGAAGAGACAACAACAUGUUUUAAAAUGAU
Cyanistes caeruleus (blue tit) is the source of this 992-nucleotide non-coding RNA. The record is from RefSeq and is a predicted model, not a curated record. NCBI's taxonomy places the organism in Eukaryota, Metazoa, Chordata, Aves, Passeriformes, Paridae.